Long non-coding RNA from Gasterosteus aculeatus aculeatus (three-spined stickleback), 16744 nucleotides. The record is from Ensembl. Lineage: Eukaryota; Metazoa; Chordata; Actinopteri; Perciformes; Gasterosteidae.
GAAUUUAGGUAGGAAAUUAAAUUCAGUUGGAUGGCAGAAAGAGUGACCUCUUCACUUUGAACAAACCUCACACUUGAAAUUUGAUAUAAAACCAUUUCAGCAAUGUUCUAUUGUCACUCAGGUACCUGAAAAACUUUACACCUACAAUGAAGUAAAAUUAAUAACAGUUCCUGCUUAAUGCUCAUAUGUCACAUGUAAUUUGUUGUGAUGAAGAAAAAAGACUAUACUAUUCGUGAACAUCACAUUUCUGAACUGCAGCAAAUACUUCGCUUGCUCUUUCAGAAAGUCUCCAUACCAAAACAUCUAAAGCUCAUUAAGUAAAGGUGAAAGCUAAGUUUCUGUUCUGUCAACCUCAUAGUUGACAACAAUGUUAAGGAAGUCCAUGCACCUUCCCGGUAAUCUGGCACAUAUACUCCAACUUGCUUGAUGUCACGCUUCCUCAUAUGUACUCAUUGAGCAUCAGGGUACAGUGAUUUACAGGAUAUUAGGUGCUUUUGAGUAGACCUUGUCUUUUUUUUUAAAGAGCCAUAGUUGCUCUUUACCCAUCUGCUUUAUUCAGUCUAUAUGCUAGGCUAGGCUAACUGGUGAAGAACUGUUUCCGUAUAAAAACAAGUGUAAUAUCAGAAUUUGCGUCCGGGUCCCAACCAUGACACCAGCCAUUCACAGUUUGAAAAUCAAGAAAAAAAGUCAAAGGGAAAGCUUUCUGAAGUGCGAAAUGGACGUUACCUGUAUGCACUUUUCUAGCACUCCAACCACUCAGAGCGCUUCGACACCACAUGUCUACUGUUCUACUAUAUAGGAGCUACCAUGCAUCAGAGCCGAUUGGUAGCAUCAUAUAUUAUUCAUUAUUGUGGUGAUAAUUAUGCGCAUACCACCCAGAAAUCACAGUGAAUAAUCAUUGGCUACAUUCACAGUAGCGUUGCGUGGGCCUUAUUUACCACCGUGCAGCUGUGACAUUAUGCUUCAGCUUGUGAUAAACCCAUUCCGAUAUCAACAUCCCCCUUGUGACACAUUUAUUAUUUUUAAGCAAACCACUUACCGGUGUGAAGAUAAGAUUUGGGUCGCCGCCCAGAGUGCAAAACUGGUGGGAAGUUACUGAGGUGAAAAGAAAGAAACUCAAAUUGUUAGAAUGUUUAAGCAUCCCACUUCUUAACACCUAAAAAAUAUUUAAUACACCUUGAGGAGACGGUGAUUUUUGUGGUUGCGAGUGGCUCCAGUUUUUCAGGGUUUUGGCGGGUACGACGGUUUUGUUAGGAUGGACUGGUUAGGACUUUAUUCUUUUCCCCAGACUGUGUAAACUUCGGAGGAUUUAGUCGGCUUACUCCGGUGAAGAGUGACGUAUUAGAUACAUUUACAGUCGCCGCAGUGUGAACACAGUCAUGGAGUCAUUGGCUUUGAUGAAUAACAUUAUCCACGCUCUGCAGAGUUAUGGCAAUUUUUUGCUGUGAGACAGAAAAAUUGUUAUUGUAACAAUGAUAUCAAUCACAUAUAGAACAAAGGAGUAGAUGGAACAAAUGAAGCACAUUCAGCUCGAUGCAUAAUCCAGUGAUCAUUACUCCAGACUCAUCUCUCAAGUUUUUUUUACAAUUCCCCAAAAUAUUCAUAUUUAUGCAGAAAAGAGAGGAACGCUUUUACAUCAUUUAACAAUAAUAACUUGGUAUAUUGAUUAUUUUGAUGAGUUGUUGGAAAAACUUACUUGCUCACCAACCAGAGACACAUCUCCUAAUUAAUUCUUCAUGAAAGAAUAUGUAGAAGUAAGAGCAAUCAGAGUAACAGUGUUUGUUUGCGUUCAAGUCACUCAGCUGGAAAAAUAGAUAAAUGUCUAGGAGAGAUGGGUGUGCCGUCCCCAAUUUCUGCCUGGCAGCCACAACAGUAACAGCUUUUGCUUGUUCCCCUGUCACUUACUGUAGCUGACAAGUUGUUCUGAAAUGCAACACUAACAAUGCAAGACUGCAGCUCACAGCUCACAUUUCAGUAUGUGAGGUAUUUUUAAAUUCAUAUCACACGAAUGCACCAUUUUAUUCCGACGCAAACAGAAAAGUUGCGAGUCUAAUAACUAUAGCGAAGAAUGGAAAAAAAAAACUUCAGAAUAUACAUUGGGAUGUGAUAUACACAUAUAUAUGAGCUCAUAUUUUGACAGUCCCUGUGGAUGCAAUGGGGUUGGUGCUCCACAGCAGAGUCCCGGUCGGGCCUCGGCCUCCAGCAGCGGGUUGAUGGCUCCCAGCGGGGACUGGUGGAGCAGCGAGGCAAAGCUCUGCUCCGGCCUUUGGAGGAAAUGCUGCUUCUGGGCACUGGAGUUCUUCUCCUCCAGCGAGGGCUUCAAACCCUGAAGGCCGCCGGCAAAACGAGGGAGCUGAAGGAGAUCAUGGUGAACUUGCCAGAUGGAAUCUGACCCUGUGGCACCGAUGACAGGCAUUGAGAAUAACUAUGUAGAAAUAGACAAUCUUCAUGCUGAGGAUUUUGUAAUUCAUUGGAAAUGUUCAAGUUCUUCGGAAUAAUCUUUACUAUCGUUUAUACAUGUUUCCACCUUCAAUUCCUGCAUACGAAAUAUUGAGUGAAUAGUCUUGAAAAAUGGCCGUGAGUAAAAGCACUGAAGACUUAUAUAAGAGUAAUAUAUAAAUAAUACUGAUGCAAAAAAAUAUUGCAUAUAUUUUGCUCUGCUUGGUAUUGAUGGAGAAAGGCCAAGAGUUGGCUGAUGCUUUCUCAAAACAGUUGCCAAUGGCAACCGGAUCACCAAAAGGAUCCCAGUCCAUCCUGAUGUUCCGGUCAGGGCAACGUACCUCUGAUGAAGAUGCCAAUGUGGAGAAAUUAUAAAUUUCAAAACUGGCAACUAACCAAGACUUGAUACAUCUGGAUGUAGCUUCUAAUGUACGCCAGUGCUUCAGUUUGAUUAGAUAUCUUAGGCUUGGAAAAAAAUUGUCUCUUUUGAAUAGUGGUGGAUACAUAUAAAAAUAAAUGAAUAAAGAAACAGAGCAUCAAUGGUGGAUGGGAAACAGUGAAACAUAUAGAGAUUGUGAGCAAAAAGAACAAUUAAAAAUUCUAUAUGUUCUAUUUACAUUAUUGAUGCAUCAUUUGUUUGCAUAUUUUAAAUGCCUCACACUUAAACAGCAAGCUCAGAAUCCCUUACUGACCUUGUGAAAUAUGCGUCCAUCCACCCAUUAUCUUUAAUGGGUCAAGGGGGUGCUGGAGCCGAUCCCAGACAACAUUGCGCGAAGGCCCGGACAAGUUGCCAGACUAUCGCAGAGCCAACACGUAGUGACAGACAAGCCUUCACGCUCACACCUACGGGCCAUUUAGAGGCCUGUCUUUCAACAGGAGGAGGAAGCCGGUCCACCCGCGCUGACACGAGGGGAACAUGCAAACUCCACACAGAAGGGGCUGACAAACCUGGUAAUUAUUACCAGACACCUCUUGCUUUGAGGCAAAAGUCCAAGCCACAACAGCAUGUGGCCCUUUUCGAGAUGUAGACACAUAAUCAAACGCGGGUAGGUCAGUUAACCAACUGCAUUUCUUUUCUCCUCGUCCAUAAAUGUGUUAUUUCCACCUGCUCUGAUGAAACGUGAUGGAAAAAAACAGAAACUGAGCUGAGUUCACGAUUUGAAGGACCUUAUUUCCCUGAAAAUCCAAUGGGCUGAGCAAGAUGUGCGACCGGCCAAAACCAUGAGGCUGGAUUUAUUAGAGCCCGCAGCAUUGAAAGCAAAUGAAGGAGUGAAGUAAUAAUACUUGGGUUCUGGGAGGUAGUCAUUGCCUGCAGAGGGAAGCCGGGGCCUCAGCUGAGAUGUUGACAGGAAGGAUUGAAAUGCUAAGAAGAACCCUGCUGCUCCCCUCGGAAACCAAUCCGGUCCAUUUACUUUUGAAAAUAACUUAUAAUUAUAGUCGCUCCACCGAUUGAUGUACAUAAUUACUAGUUUGAUAUGGAAAGGAACACGAGUCCAUUUAACAAAACCACAGUUAAAAAGAGCUGUAUUUACGAUUCUGAAUACACUUUUGUAUAUAUAUAAGCCGCUCUCCCUCUGUGGUUACCUGAGCUACGCCUUUCUACCUUUUCGUGUUUGUAGUGCACGUGAGCGUACCCCACCUCCCAGACGCUGCUCUGCUCUGUUCUCAAUGGUGGUUAAAGCCGUCCCGACGGACAGCUCUGUAAUGUUAGUGUUGGCGCUCUUACUGGGCCGUAUGUACAUUUCUUUUUUCUAAUAAUAAUAGUAAUGCGGGUCAUAUAAAAAUGUCAAAAUCAUUGUUCCUGCAAUACACUAUAGUAAUUGGUUUAAUGAGCUGCCGUUGCAAUCUUAUAAUCCCUUCAUAAUUAUCCUCAACAACUUCAUACACUCACCAAACUCCUAACAUCAAUAUAAAUAGCUAAGUAAAUGAAAUAUAACAGUAAUAGUUACCAAAAGUAGAUUUUUUGUCACGAUAUUGACAUAACAGCGGUAGUUAACUUUCUAAAGCAGUAAAAUAUGAAUGAAGCGAAGAUACAUAGCAAGUAAUAUUAGUUAGUGCAGUACUAUGUAGUUAUAGUAGUAUUAACAACACAUUGGGCCUGAAUAGAUAAGGCGGCAGGAUUAAUCAAGCCUGGCUGUCGAUUAGGAGCAGCUGCACAGAAAAGAAACAUCCAUGGUAAUGUUUGUGUCAUGAAACCUGGUCGGUUCCGCCAGGACAACAGUAACAUUCCAGCAUCAUCUGCUGUGUAGGUUUUGUGACUCAGCCCUCAGGUGGAGAGAGGCUGCGCUUUGCAACAUGAAAACACGGCUAGUGCUUCAAUUGGCUGAGGGACAUAAUAGACAGAUCAGAAGGUUUCAACCGGAGGUACGUGGUGCCAAGAGUCUCCAGCUUGCAAUCCAAGCUCCACUCUACACUGAUUUCAAUGAUUUAUCCCCCCAACCUGAACCGCCACCCUUUGGUUUAAUUUAUGCUAAUCAGGGGAAUCAGCUGCCAUAGGAUUUCAUUGAAAAAAAGAAGAAAAAAACACUCCAUAUUAGAGGAAAUGCUUAUACUUUAUUUUACUACUUUAUAAUAAAUAAAUCCAGAGCAAAUUAAUUUUUUCUUUGCCCACGCACACACACACACACACACACACAGAUUACCAUUAUCCAGGGCCGUGCUGUUAGCGUGUCGAAAAUAAAAAAAUAAAACUACACAAUGAAAAAGACCACUUCCACCUGGGUCACAAACAAGACCUGAGAAGCAAAUACAACCGGAAUGGUUUGACAGUUACUGUCAUUCCCUUCAGGUGACAUAUUACCAGCGUGGACGACAGUGAGUCCGUUACAAUCUGGGAUGUUGUGAGUAAUGGGGGCACCUGACUGGGGUCAAUGUGGCACUUUGAUGCUAAACGUACCCAACAUUAGCCAAUGCUAAAAGGACCCGUCUGGGCCCCACACGCACACUAUUAACCCACUCGCAGGGCCUGGCUGGACUGGCAAAAAUGGGGAAUAACGGGAUUUGGUCUGUCCGCGAAGGCUUGUUCAGUGUAGGAAUAAAUAUGGCGAGCCGGAUAAAUGUGUGAGACAUCAAAGUGUGUGUGUGUGUGUGUGUGUGUGCGCAAUGUGUUUCCCUGUCGGUAGAGGCGAACACUGGCCUGGAUUGUGUUCACACAGGCAGUCAGAUAAAUGAAGCUGAAGGGUCGGAGUUGAGUGGCGACCGUGGCAGCUGUCAGCACUGUGGUGUGUGUGUGAUGUACGAGCUCAUCUGUCACCACCAGUCCCUUCCUGCGGAUGGCGUGGAAUAGCAAUCCGACGUCAUUUCCAAUUCUCCCCUCGGUUAACUUUCCCCUUGAAUUUUGAGUUUGAUUUCUUUUUCAGUUUAAUUUGCAUAUCCUCUGUGUUUCCCAUUUUCAUAUGUUGGCCCGGGUAAGUGAGACUGGGUAAAUAUUGUUUGGGUCUCCUUUGUCUUGCCCUUGCUGUGGGUAUUAUGAUGCAAAUUUUCGCCUGUUGAUGGGCUCGACAAGUGAAAAAACAUGGAUACACAAUCACAAGAUUAAAACUGGAAAGUGCAUUGCUUGAAGUCCAUUUCAAAGGCACAUGAAUCACUAAUACUAAAUGGAAAACCUUUGGCGAUGUUGCUGCAGAUGUUGGCAAUAAAUAUACAUUUAAAUAUAUACAGUUUCUAGGCUCUCUCAUUUGGCUAAGUUAAAUGAAAGAAGCCAAAGCACCAACCCACACACACACACACACACACACACACUGUCUCUGGCCAGUGUUCAUCCGCUGGAGACGCUGACUGAAUACCAGGGGACACUGUGGUGCCACAAUGGCAACGUGAAGCCAGCUGGCCACACCUGAGUCGAAAACCCAAAGAGGAUGAGACACAGAUGCAGAGCACAAACACCAACAAACAAACAAACAUAGACCGCGUUCAUCUGAUUAGAAUACCGAGAUGAAGCCCUCGGGGAUGCAAUAAAAGAAAAGAAUGCUGAUGAAGAGAACGCGAAAGACUCAGAAUAACCCGCUGAAUUCCUUGCAGGCCAAAGUUGCUGAUGUGCGAUGUGCUUUGCUCCUUACAGAUCCAUACCCUUAAUUCUCAAUUAUCAGAUGGUUCAAAUAGAUCUGCAUAAUGAAUGCAGAAAAAGAAAAAAAAAACUUUCUGAAAUAAGUGCCGCUCAGUAAGAGCACAGGCGGGUGACAACACGACUCCUCAGCGCCUCCGGGUACCCGCAGCGUCGGAUCCUCCGUGAAAGACAUCGUAAUAGCUGGUCAGGUACAUCUUUGAGGUUAAGUGCAAUAGCGGGAGAUGUGUUACCACAUGUUCUUUUACUUACUCCCUCCCAAGCACAUUGAGCAGUCAUCACCGGGAUCUCUUAAUGGCUGUCCAUUCUGUCCUCGUGAAUUACACCGCACAUAAUUUCCACCUUUGUUCAGGUACGCCGGUUGCCAAGAGCCCGGCGACUGGCGCGUGCAUAAAUCAAAGAGCAGUUCACCGUUUGGAUUAAGGUUGCCGGAUGCGGGGGCUCUCGUUGGAGCCGCGCUGUAAAGCGUAGGCAGGAGCGCUCUCCCGGACGCGGCGCCAAGAGCACACGCCGAGCCAAUCGCAAAGCAUGACAAGUGCACAUAAGCAUGUUUUAUAUGGCUAGUUUAAUGCCUCGCCGUGUUAACAUCAAUCACGUCCUGAAGGGAACGUGCCCUUCAAAAGCAGUGGGUUAGGUAUCGUCUCACGGCAGGCUGAGGACGACGGAGAACAGGCCUUUUUUUGUUUUUUUUUCCCCGGGUUAAUCAUACCUCCCAAAAAUGCUACAAUUGAUUCCUAUGACAGAAAACAAAUCCGGGGAUAACAGCUGAACAAUAUGCAAAAAAAAGAAAACAUUUGUCGCGUACAUCAUCCUAUUGGUACCGUUUAUAUCAUUUUUCUUCGGCAUCCAUGGAAGGUUAAGCCUCCCUACGGAGUUCUGUUUCACAGACGCAGCACUUUGUGGCAUUCGGAGGGUUACGGAAAAAACAACCACCCACACCGACUCAUGCGGCGUGUUUGCAUAAAACAAAAUAAUUGCAUUGCAUCCAUCUUCUGGAUUGUACUUAUGCCGUACUCUCCCUUUUAUCGUGCCCCCCACAAACGGGAAAAUACACAAACAAGGAAAAAACAGCAAGCCAACGACAGAGGGACAUAUAUGAAAAAAAGAGCCAUUGUCUUAGAGGUGAGCAAGCUUACGACCAACCAAACCCUCAUCGGGUGAGAGAAAUAGUGACUGCAGGCUACUCUCCUCUGUUCUCCUCUCGCAAAUGCUGUUUGUUUGUGAAAGUGACGCUUUUCUCUCUCUUGAUCUGCUGUGCCGCACAUCGUGGUCUUUAAUUCCAGCCGUCUCGGAUGCCGAGCGGACGCGGCCACUGUGAACCUCUACGACCCGUCUCUUUAUCGUCUCCUGUUAAGGGGAUGUGUCCAUUGGCAACUCUUUGAACAUUGCAGGGAGAGGGGGGGAAUUAAAAAGAAAGUUCUCCGCUGGCAAUGCCAAAUGGGACGUGGCGAGGAGCGGGAUGGUUGGCGUUCCACAACGUUGGGCUUUGUGCCACAGCUGUCAAGUGCAGGUGUGCAUAUUUUCUCUUGUUUUAAACAAGAUUUGUAGUUGAAAGGCGAGUCACGGAGUACAUUUUGAUCCCAAAGGCCAUGAACAGAUUUUAUUGUUGGUCCGGGGUGACUGAAUUGAUUGACUUUUUGAUAUAUUUGAUUUUUUUUUUUUUGUUAUCCUUCAGGCUUCUAUUGUCUCCAUCACUCUGUCUUUUGUGGGGCUGGUCGUCUCUGAGGCAGCAGAAUUCGGUGUUAAUGCAUCACUACCACUUGUCAGGCCUGUUAUAAUAGAUUUUGAAGAGGAUUUGUAAGGACACAAUGCCAGGAAGGAGGAAAUUAAUGACCCGAGGGCUACAUUUCGGCCUCAUCCUCCGGCCUUAUCCUCUCACUGCUUUUUGAUGCAGUCUCUAUGAGAUCAUCCAAAGCAAAAACCAUAGUUUCAGGUUGAUAAUACGAUAAUACGAAAGAGGGCAUUUGGUUUGGCAGCAAACUCUUCAGCUUCUGACGCGGUCAAAUUAAGCAACCAAUCCAAGGGAAAUUCAGGGAAAGAAAAGAGAGAAGGUUUAGUGGGAAGAGUAACAAACCUUAUGUCUGCAUUGAGCAAACCUACGAGCCGGAACUUCAGCAUCCAACUACAGACCAGCUCCCACCGGAUCGGACAGAGGGACUGGCAGGCAACAAACACCAGUACAUUAUUCCCGGGAGUCACUGGACUCGAAUCCCUAAAACAAAUGUGUUUAUACCAGCAGCAACAGUGCUGCGGAGCAGAGAGAAGGAAAAGUGAAAGAAAAUACUCAACACCGUGAUGAUGAUGAUGAUGAUGUGGAAGUAUCGAAAGCCUGCUUGUGUGUUCCUGAGACGAUUAGAGAUGCGAAUGAGUAGAGCAGGUAGGACGCCGUCAAAAGACGGGAUGGUGUCCGGGUGGAGGAGAGGACAAGCGGAGGAUGGUGGAUCCCUUUUCAACGGACAACAGGUCAUAAACAAACACAAACACACAGCCAGAGGCCGAUGGGGAACAGGAGAUAAAUAAAAAUAAAAAUGUUUCAUCUCGAUCCCCUGACCGAUUAUAUUGAGGUCUCAAUUGCCUUAUUUGAAAAAAGAUUCUGACACCGAAUUCUGAUGAAAUGACGAACAAAAAUAUUAUCUGUAUUAGCAAAAACAGUAGACAGCAUGUUGUAAGGUAUUUAUGGUUCUUAAUGGUUUUAGACACACACAAAGUAAUCCAUGUAACAUUCUAUCUUUCUUUUAUGUCUUGGUUUUAUGCAAUUAUUCAAUUAGUUUGUUUAAACAUUGUUUUAUUUUUUUCCUUUUAAUUUGUAGUAUAAACAAUAAUGUAAUGUAAUAAUGUUCCACCUUUGUAGGACAGAAAGUCUGUGCUCUUUGAGGCACAUUGUGUUCUGGGUCAUCUGACUAAAGAUGUUUGUGCGUUGAUGUUUAUAAUCUUGUAAUGACAGAAUGAUCGUCUACAUCCUACUUCACUGGUGCAAUGCUCAGUCCUGGGAGAAGGUUUUCAGUCUUCAGAUUUCUUCCUUAUUUUCCCCCAUUUCAUAGGGUUUUUUAGGGUGUUUUUUGGAAUUAGACUAGGCAUGUUAUAUUAAUGCAUAGUGCGAGUAUUAUGUAAUCAAAAGAGUGGAAUGUAAUGGCAACAAAUUAUUUUUACUCUUCAAAAUGUUUACAACGUACAAGGUUUGAGAUGGUUUGGCCAUGAAGAAGAAUUGAGCUGGAGUGUCUCACACUGAGACGAUGCCGGUCUUCUGGCUGUAGAGACACAACAAGUUGGUUUGGAGGCCACCUAUAGGUAUAAGAACUGCCUGGCCCUGUUGUGAGUGGAGGAAGGUUCUUGGCACCUUUUUUCCUUUGCAAGGAAAUAAACAGAGAAAGACUCAUUUUAGCCUUUAUUCUUAUUUACCUAUUGUCUGUACGAAACACGAGCAGGUGUGCAUAUUUUCUCUUGUUUUAAACAAGACUUGUUUUUGAAACGCGAGUCACGGAGUACAUUUUGAUCCCAAAGGCCACAAACAGAUUUUAUUGUUCGUCCAGGGUGACUGAAUUUUUUUAUACAUUUUUUUCUUUCUUUUUUUUUUCAACCUUCAGGCUUCUAUUGUCUCCAUCACUCUGUCUUUUGCGGGGCUGGUCGUCUCUGAGGCAGCAGAAUUUGGUGUUAAUGCAUCACUACCACUUGUCAGGCCUGUUAUAAUAGAUUUUGAAGAGGAUUUGUAAGGACACAAUGCCAGGAAGGAGGAAAUUAAUGACCCGAGGGCUACAUUUCGGCCUGAUCCUCCGGCCUUAUCUUCUCACUGCUUUUGAUGCAGUCUCUAUGAGAUCAUCCAAAGCAAAAAUUAUAGUUUCAGGUUGAUAAUUUGUUGUCUGAAAGAGGGCAUUUGGUUUGGCAGAAAAAGAUAAUUGCAAACUAGAAAGCUAAACCAUAUAUAAAUAAAAAGGUUUUUAGUCCUAAAGACCUUCAUUGCAUCUUGAACGCUAGCAUCUAACCUACAUUUUGGAAUUAUUGUCACUGUUCCCUCUUAAAUCUGAAAUACUUCAUUAUCGUCCUUUUCACUCAAAAUAAGUCGUACACUUUCCGUGAUUAUCACUGUCAGCUUUCAUGGCACACUUUCAAUUAAAGCGUCAAAUCUGUGGAGCUCCUCAAGCGCACACGCUCAAAGGAAAUAUCCCAAAACAGGUAUAACAUGACCUCUGAAAAUCCCGAGGCCAUUUGAUUGGCUGUAAAUAAAUGGCUUCCCAAACCCCAUUUGAAGGGUACAGUACUUGAGAUAGACUUAUUUUGUGUUUGCCCAAAGGUCUAACAAGUGGGCUUGUUAUGGAAAACAACCUGACAGCCUUUUAAAGAUGUUUCUUUUUUAGGUUAAAGAGUUGUUUUUUUUUCCCCCUCUGCAAAGCCCGGCGUCUUCUACAUUGACCACAUCUGUCAAUAUAAUGGUAAUAAUUCCAUGGAUUUGUGCCGGCCCUUUUCCAUCAUUCUCCGAAGAUGCCACUUGACUGUUUCUUUCUCGAGCUGGUCUUUCUUUCACCAGAGCCUUUUGUCCUGCCCUCCUCCCUCUUUCUCUCAUCUUUUUCUGACUUUAAAGUCUGUCAAUGGCUUUGUCCCUUUUCGUCUUUUUCAAUCUCACUCCUCGGCCCGAUUCGUUCUUUUCCAAUGUUCCAUUUCCACUUCCUUCAAAUCCCCAUAUAUUCUCUUCUGUCUUUCCUUCCCAGGCACUCCCCACCCCCAUUUAUUGUCAACUUCCUUUCUAGCCAUUGUCUCACUCGUCUAUAUUGUUGUACUUUAGUCUGCUCUGAUUUCUCCAGCUCGCUGAUGCCAUAAGACAGGAGAGCUUGCUGUAUGUAUAUCUGUGCAUGUGAGCUUGACAGUAAAGCAUAAUAACACUUCGGACGCUGGCUGAAACAUUUUUGUAGGUGAAGUGGGUUUACAAUUGGAUUUUGCGUCAAAAAGGCCACAUCUUCCCUCAGUUGUCGGAUCCUCUUUUUCUCGGCUGCCCUGUGUUCACAGAUGACGAUGUACCAUAAACUUUUGUUAAUAUCGCAGUUUGAUUGACACAUUUCAGCUCAACGCAGCGGCUGUGCAGGUACACUUUAAUCACUUUUAGACACCAGGAAGCAGCGUUUAUUCGAGGUGACUGCAUGAAUGGCCUGAGGUGCCACUCUUUGAUUCCCAAUUAAAUGCUCAAAUGCUUUAAUGUGUUUUUGGAGCAAAAUAUGAACCUCCGUUAUUUGAUGCUCCGGCACCUUAAUACAGCGGUGAGCACCGUCACCUCAGUAAAAAAAAAAGUUCCCUAACCAGCAACAGUCUGUUACAUUUUAGUUUUGGAAGAUUACUACCUGAAACAAACCGACCAGUUCUACUGACUAUGUUAAUGUUCUUAUUAUUUGAUCAUAUAUAUUAUGAACUAUAGGGAACAGUCCUUUAAAUAACAGUCAAAAAUGCUCCAUCAACAAGUAAAAGUUGUUCUUUAAUAAUAAUUUAUUAUAUGGGACCAUUCUGGCGUUUGGACGAAGGUCAAUUUAUGGACUGAGGCAAGACAAAAUGUUGAUGUUAAAUUUCAGCUGUUGUGAUUUGAGUUUAAUUAUGUGCCAUGAUGAGGUUGGUAUUUACUUACAUACCUGCAGCUGCCCUUGUGUGGUAAUUUGAUUUCUGACCAUGUGUUAGUCUUGUGAAUCACAAAUAACAAUGUGAUUAAUUUUACUAAAUGUCAGAGGGUUUAACUCUUGUUAGAAAAUUAAUUAACUAUGAACUAAGACUACAAAGCUAAAGAUCGGCUCCCCAGAAAGUCCCCGCCAGUGCUUUGAGCAGCCAUCUCUGAUGCACAGGAUAAUCCGCCGCCUUUAAUUAUAACUGAAGUACCUAUUUUGUGACGUCGCCUUCAAAUCACUUGAGCUUUGACGCAUUGUCCCACGCACGUAUCGUGGGCGUAUGUUUUUGUAAGUUUACCAGGGGCCUGUUCACACAUCAAGACAUAUUUCAACUUUCAUUCUAUAUUCAACAAGAGAUUGAUUUUUUUUCUCUUUGGUAUUGUUGACGUUAGGUGCUUCAUUUUUCUUGAGUGACACUCCUUGCACAAGGAUACAGAAACCAGAAUCCAUCAGCGCAGUUUAAGUACUAGACUGCGAGUCACCUGGAUUGACCUGAAAUACAGUUAAAAGCAGCAGUUUUUCUUCAACAUGGUGGUGAAUUCUACAUGUGAUGAUGCCCGUCACAAAUACAAAUAAUGAUGAUGAUAACCACUGUCUGUUUCUCUCCGUCCAUCACUUACACACACACACACACACACACACACACACAUAAGGCGUGUCUUUAGCCGUCCUGUGAUGUUGUUGCUAGGUCACGUAACUAGGGUUAAAGGCCUCCCCCACACCACCACGCACACACACACACACACACACACACACACACACACGUUGCCAGGUUAUUAAGCACUUGUCUGAUGUCAGGGUUUCCGUUGGGUGACGAAAAUCAUUAUAACAUAUAAUAUAUAUAAUAUAUAAUAUAUUAUAGUUAUAAUUAAUACACCUUUAAUAGCAUCCGGCCUAUACGUCGUAUAUUGAACUUUAUAUAUCAUAGUUUUUUAAAGAAUAUCAACACUUCUCAACUAAGCAAGGUGAUGAUCAAUGACUGCGACGGGACAGAGGGGUCAAAGUAUUUUUUUUGCAGUUUAAUAUUGUCACAUUUAUAACGCCGUGUUCUACGAUAGCACCAUCAUCCAAUGUUAAAUAGUUAUAUCGUAAGGCUACAUGAACACAUUUAGAAUUAUAUUUUCAUAUGACUGGAAUUGCACAGCAAAGUGGUCAACAAAAAUGAUGAAGUGUAAUUUACACGCUAGUUUGAAACUGCUUGAAAGUAGUGAAGUAUUAAAUUCAUUCUGAAAAAUGGGAAAGCUUAGAAAACAGUGUCUUAAUGGCACAAGAUCUGGACCAUUAAGAAAACUGUUCAUACCCAAGAGGAAAUGCAAAUAUUCAAUGUGCGCGAACACAAAUCACCCCUUUGUCACACGGUUAUUUCGUGGAAACAUGCAUGUUUCUCCGGACAAGUUGACACUGAUUAGCAACAUUACAACGGCUGUCGAGAACGUCGCAGUGCGAAUGCUGCUUGUCAUUUUGUUUCGAUGCCAUUUAGAGUACCUUGUUCUUUUUCGCUUUUGAUAUAUCGGAUUUGUACACACUCACGAGUCACCUCGCAUGACUGGCGGACCCCGUGUCUGCUCCCCUGGGCGCUGUGGUCCCAUUUACUUGAAAUGUAUUCUAUCAGACUUUUUAAUGUAAAAGUGCAAUAAAGCCAUUUCAUGCAAUGUUGAGCAACUUUGCCACAUUAUUGUAAGGUCUCUGUGGCUUGUUAAGGCGGGACCGGACUCAGCGACCACAGUCACACACACGCACACACCUUCAUGCACCCUCUUUGUGACAGGUAGGUGAAUAGAAAUGAACAGAUGAACAGCUCAGUAAACCCCUGUGUACAUUCCAAGGGGAGUGGGGUCAGCGGCAGUACGGUAAGCCUGGUUUGAGACUGUGGAAUAUGGAUUUUGCUGAGAUGUCACACCGUAUUUUACAGUGUGGCAACAGCACGUUGGGGGGGUUUCAAAAAAAAGUGCUGAAAAAGUCAAGGUUGUGGUUGAAAAUAGCUUUUCAUUACGUCACCUGGUUUUCAUGUCAGGAACAUUUUUACUGCAGGAUCAACAUCAUUUUUUGAGUAUUGAAAAAAAACUGCCCGCAGAAGCAUCAAAACUCGUGCUCGCAAACUUUGCACAGCAGGUACUCAUGGGAGGCAACUGAAAAGACAGUGGUGGAAGCUGAUGAGCUAUGCAAACAAACCAGUCAGGGGAAUGCUCAUUAUUGUGCGUUUUUGGUUUGUUUGUUUGUUUGUGUAGCUUCCCCCUCCCCGUCCUCCCUCUACUGUUUAUCCCUCAACGGCAAACAACGUUGUCUCAUCUUAGAGGUUGCUCUUCUCUUGGUGACACUGCACUUCUCUCUAUUUGAUACGCGAGGUCUAGCUCGUUCGAGAUGUUGGCCCGCUCGGUGCCAGCACUGACAUGGCGAGUUAGCAACAAGGGUUCGAGUAAUUGCUCUGGCUCCAUCCUCUCUCCUUAUUCAUCCAGCUUCUUUGUCAAAGGCUUUUUCCAAGGGAGGAAGUCUAAUGACAGAUACAGCAAAGGCAGUUUUGUUAAGAGGUCUGACAAAAAGGCACAAAGAAAGAUGUGAACCUUUUAAUGUAAUGUAUCUAUUUAUUGUGUUCAGUUGGAGCCUCGAGUGCUGAUGGGGGAAUAGUGUCCGUCAUUGUCCCAAGCUCAUUUUAGUGGGCACUUUGGUUACUUACUACCUGUUACAAACAAAACGAGGUAUAGUCCUCUGAGUCUCUCUUAAAGCUUAGGCACAAACCUAAUGGGCCUUGACUGGUUGUUCCAUUUCUAACGUCACAUUGCAAUGACUUGACGGUAAAGGUUCAUAAAAAGGGCUUGAACAUCUGCUAGAAAGCCAUCAAACGCUCACAGAGUUAGCGCGAGUGCGCUUCAAAGUCCGUUAGAUUGGUCCCUAGUCUGUGUCCAUCUCACAUUCACAACUUUAAAUUACGCAGACUCCGCGCUGUAGUUUGAAAAAUUGUAUUGUACAAAAAUGAUCAGGGGAAUUGCCAAACGACCCUUAUCAAUUUCAGAUGAAUCCGGCACUUAUCUUUUCGUCUGGUCUGCCGCUAUCUCGGCCACAGCCACGUCUACGCUGGUUGGAAGCAGGCGGCCUGUGUGAGGGGCACACAUUCUUCCUUUAUGAAUUCCAGCCCAUGAGAAAAAGCACAUGCAUCAUUUGUCCAACGGAUCCGAGGUGUUUUCAUCAGUGUGCUGCUCAGUUGAUAACUGUUAAUUCCAUCUGUAAUCAGAGACCAAAGUACUUGAUAAAAAGAAACACACUAUUACAGAAUGGUGCCGGUUAAUAAUAAACUUUAAGAUUCUCCAAUCAGCAGACGCCCAGAUCAUCUUCAACAACAUUGAAUGCAGUCAACCGCCUCUGCAGAGUGUAUUUAAGCUUUCCCCUUCAGCAAGUUAGAUCCCCUCCGCCACCCGAAGGCAUCCAUUGUUAACUUCAAUUAAGCACAACCCGGCAGCCUCGAAUUACAAACACACACGUCCGUGCUUCAGACUCAGUUAGGACUCGGCAUUAUCCAGAUUUGAGUGCAACAUCCUGGGAUGCAAUUAGCGAAGCUCUCAAUGGAAAUAUCUGGGGAAUAUUUUGCCCCCAAAAAGCCAUGGUGCAUGUAUCUGUUUGCCCCGUAACGCCUUCACACGUCGCAGCUUUCCUUCAAACUUGUCAAAUGUUGCUUUUUAUUUAAUAUUUUGAGAUGCAAGUUGAAGAUAUAUUCUGGUGCGACAGUUUGUGCCACAAUUCUGUUGGUGAGUCAACAACUGGUCUGCGUAGUCAUUAAAACAGGAUUAUAGAAAUGUUGCAAUUGAUACAGUUAUAAUCAGCUUAAAAAACGUUUCACUUAGUUUUGGCAGCAGUUGGGGGUUAUUGACAACUGUGAUUGUAGCCAAAAUCUGUUUAAAUGAUCCCGUACUUGUUUGAGGACAGUAACAUAAAUGCAAGCAGAUUCUUUUCCCCCUCAUUUUAACUUCCAUCGUAUCAAUUUCCAUUAGACCUCCAACAAAGCCAGCAACAGCACACCACAGCAUUUAGUGGGUAGUUGCGUUUAAAAAAAUGACUAUGUGGAAUAUCAUCCCAAAAAAAAAACAGUUAUCUUUGCGUUUAGGCAGCUUUGUCAUCCUUUGAUGUUUGAGUGUUUAACAGGUACGUUAAUGAGUAAUACAACUAUAGCAGAGAAUGAAAUAAUUAAUAGUAAUGCUCUUAUAUUCCACCUCAGAGGGCUCAGCGUGUGAGCGACAGAACAGGUGCGCCCGAGGGUGACCUCACUGACCUCGUGGAAAUGACCUAUAGUGCGUCGUGCUGGUCUUGCAAUUGCCGGAACACAAUGGGAGGGGCCUCCAUCACGGGCCCUAACCACAAUGGACGAGACAACUCAUUUCAAAUGCAUUCAGAGCAUUUUUUUUUUUUUUGCUGAUUGCUUCAUCCAUGCGCAUAUGUGUGCCUUGGAACAAACAUCUACAUCUCCUUGUGUGAUCGUACCGUACAGUGUGCCGUGUCCGUGUGUGUGUGUGUGCGUAGUGCUGCAGUGCUGUGAUCGUCCUGACCUAGAAAAGCACUGAGACAGAGAGCGGAGACGCUCUGUGCGGCGACAGAAGGAGGGGGAAUCCAACCG